Molecule: ribosomal RNA, 393 nt
Filed under: uncultured bacterium
Lineage: Bacteria
Description: partial 16S ribosomal RNA
Rfam family: Bacterial small subunit ribosomal RNA
Source: RNAcentral
AUACGGAGGAUGCGAGCGUUGUCCGGAUUUAUUGGGUUUAAAGGGUGCGUAGGCUGUGCGUUAAGUCAGGGGUGAAAUGCCGUCGCUCAACGACGGAGCUGCCCUUGAUACUGGCGUGCUGGAGUACGGAUGCCGUUGGAGGAAUGAGUGGUGUAGCGGUGAAAUGCUUAGAUAUCACUCAGAACACCGAUUGCGAAGGCAUCUGACGAAUCCGUCACUGACGCUGAGGCACGAAAGCGUGGGGAUAGAACAGGAUUAGAUCCCCUGGUAUUCCACGCCGUAAACGAUGAUGACUAACCGUCGGCGAUAGACAGCCGGUGGCCAAGCGAAAGCGAUAAGUCAUCCACCUGGGGAGUACGUCGGCAACGAUGAAACUCAAAUGAAUUGACGGGG